CUGGCUAAGCAACGGACAGAUAUAGGAGUAUUUGGACGGUUUCCUUUACUUACUAGGACUAGGAAUAAUGACUUGUGCUCGGUGAACGUAUAUCUUUUAUUUUAUGCUCCUAUUUGGACUUUUUUUUCUUUUUUUCUUUUUUCCUAUUUGGACUCAAACUUGUAUUAGGAGAAGUCUUGGGGGCAAAUAUAGAAUUUUCAUUUUUCCAGUACUCCCUUCUUUCGUUCUUCCGCCUCGACGCCACAAGCUUCUCGUCGCCGUUCACUUACCGGCAAGAGAAAGAACGAUGGAUUUUUCCGACGAGUGGAAGUCUCUAUGGCCAAUAUGUUCAUCAUAUUCCCCACCACUUCUCCUCUCAAAUUCACACGAAGAAUCCUCUUCGAAACGGCGCCGUAUUGAUUGUCCAAUUGGACCUUUGAUUUUCAGACCAUGUGAAGAAACGCUGAAACUAAUCCUUCGCUCGCCAUUGCUAUCAAAUCGGCUUCCUCCCCCGGUUCCUGACCUCUCUCUACCAAGAUUCCUUCAAACUUCAAGUGGUGUGCUUUUUUCUACAGCUUCUUCAAUUGCUACACAGUUUACUCCACAGGUUUCUGACUCAAUUCACAACUUUAAUGCAAUCCAAUUUCUUCCUCUUCCUAAUGUUGGUGAAAAUAGUAAACCCAAUUCAAUUAUAGGAAUUUCUCCAACUGGGGAGAAUUAUGACCAAGUUGGGUUUUUUAUGCUCUGUUCUGAAGAUACCCAAUUUGUGGCUAAGAAAUUCAAGAGCCGGACAUCCUUUUUAGUGCAUAAUCACAAGCUGAAUUUUAGAAUUUUGAGGUUAUUAGUCAACCCAGUUGGUGAAAUUGAUGAUACUUGUUCAUCUGGUUAUAUUACUUUUGGGUACUUAUUGGUUUGUACUUUGUAUUCUGUUCAUUGGUAUAGCGUGAAGAUAGGGUUUAAAGGAGAUGAAAAUGUUAUGUUAGAUUAUGUGGGUAGUGCUGAUAGAAACUUGCUCAAGGGUGGGACUGUUUCUCAUGCUUGUUGGAGUCCACAUUUGAGAGAAGAGUGUGUGGUGGUGUUGGAAAAUGGGGAUUUGUUUUUGUUUGAUAUGGGUUCUUGCAGAAAGAGUCGGGCUUUCUGUGCUUCUGAUGUAUUGCAAGGGAAGAAAUUGCAGGUUUUGUGGGAUAAGUUGGAUAGAGAUGAACAGUGGGUAAGCUGUGAAUUUAGCUGGCAUCCAAGGAUUUUGAUUGUUGCAAAUUCAAGGGCUGUGUUUUCAGUGGAUUUGAGGUCAGACAAGUGCAAAGUCUGCACCUUGCUAAAUAUUGAGGCAGUGUCGUUGGGUAGAACUGAUAGAUUUCUAGCACUUUCUAGAGUAGAGUCUGACCCCUUCUGUUUUACUGCUGUUUCUGGAUGCUUCCUUCUUCUUUGUGAUGUGCGGAAGCCAUUGAUGCCAUUGUUGCGGUGGGUACAUGGUCUGAAUAAUCCGUCUUAUGUGACUGUUUUGAGAUUGUCUGACCUGAGGCAGCGUAAUAGAGAUGAUAAAUGGGCAUGGGCUACUGAAUCAGGGCGUUGCAUUUUGGUAGGAUCAUUCUGGGACUGUGAAUUUGCUCUAUUCUGCUAUGGACCAGGUAGCAAUCACAGCCAGAAAUUACCAGAAAUUUCGAGGCUCAGUAAAUCAGUCUAUGCUUGGGGACAACCUUCAAGCCUCUCACUGUCUGGUCGUGAUUGUUGUUGUGAAAGUUGUCUUAUGAGAGCAUAUUUCUCUGAAGACAUUCUUCCUGAUUGGAUUGAUUGGAGGCAAAAGAAAGUCAUUGUCUUGGGGUUUGGUAUUCUCAACAAUGGCAUUUCUAUCCAAUCAGAUGAUGCUGAUAGCUCUGCUGGCUUUUUCCUUGUAAGGUUAAUGUCCUGUGGCAGUUUGGAAGCUCAGAGAUACACUGCAUCAUGGGACUCUGAGGAAAAGUCAGAGGCACCUUAUGGAGGAAAUUUUCUGUGUUCUGGAAAUAACCUUCUAUAUGAUAUGAGUGUUGGAAAAUUGAAACUGAAAAAGAGCCACAUCUACGUGGGCCUUGACUUUCUUAAAGAGUAUCUGAAUGGAAAACUAACUAAACUCCUUAGUAGGAAAUACAUAGAGAAUCAAAAGGAUUCUGAAGAAAACCGGUCAGAGUUCCACCAGCAAAUAUGUCAGAAACUUAAAGAAUGUGGCGUCACAAGACUGGGAUCAUCUCUAACCGUUUUUGAUGUUAUCAAAGAUAUCAGCUUGCCAGCAAGCAUUUAUGAGAUUGCGCUAGAAAGCAUUAGCACCAGUUUGCCUAAUAAUCUUCUGGGAUUCACUUUCUCUGCCUUGUUGAGAUUCCCUGAAUUUCCCCUGAAACCAAAGAAACGUUCUCUAGAAUAUACUGACAUUGUUGACAAACUAUAUCCACUGCCUUUUCCCUUGCAUAAAUGUUGUAUUGAUGAGACACCAGAAAAAGUUCAGUCUUGUAGUUCUUCUGCUCCCGUUCUUCCUCCUCCUUUUCUGGUAGCUCUUAAUGACCUUCGAAUUGCAGAAAGAGAUAUAUUGCCACUUGAUGCUGAACUGAGGCUUCAGAGUGAUAAAGUUAUGAAGGUGGCCCAUGAAAUAGGUCUGUCACACUUUGGUAGUGAGCCUGGUGAUGGCUAUUCGGUUUCCCUUGAUGCAGAUACUGAAUGCCCUAGCGAUUGGCAAAAUAUGAUGCCUCUCUGUUUACAUGAACCUUUGGCAUUCUCUGACUGUUAUAUGUCAAAAAUGGAUUUGGGAGUAGAACCUGAUAAAAGAUUUACAACCUUCAUCUAUAAAAAACACAAAGAACCUAUCUCAAAUGCUAGCAAAGAGAUGACAGGAGUGGAGUUGUUCGAUGAGGGGUGUCCAGUAGAGCUCAAAUUCAAUGAUAGUCUCACAAUGCGGGGGGCAAAUGAGCUGGAAACUUUUAAAUUGUUGAAACAAAAGGAUUUAGGUUUUCAGAAAAAAUUUCAGCUGUAUCAAGAGUAUUUAACUGGAUGUCAUAAGUAGAGACAAGUGUUCAUCAAGAAAUACUACUUUCAAGGAGGGAACCACGCAUGACAGAUUGAAAUGGAAGAAGCUGAAUUGUACACACUCAAGAAUUCAAGACAGAAUGGGUCCACGACAGUCACCAUUUCAUUUCAAAGAUAAUGGAACUCUAUGGGGGUUGAUGGGAAGACCAAAUCAAUAGCAAGACAAAUUGUCAUCAACUAAACAAGUUCACCCAUACCUGGAGCUGCUUUUGCAUUCUG
Solanum dulcamara is the source of this 3249-nucleotide RNA transcript. RefSeq lists it as uncharacterized. NCBI's taxonomy places the organism in Eukaryota, Viridiplantae, Streptophyta, Magnoliopsida, Solanales, Solanaceae. The transcript is spliced from 3 exons. The record is from RefSeq and is a predicted model, not a curated record.